Molecule: ribosomal RNA, 468 nt
Filed under: uncultured bacterium
Lineage: Bacteria
Description: partial 16S ribosomal RNA
Rfam family: Bacterial small subunit ribosomal RNA
Source: RNAcentral
GACGAACGCUGGCGGCGUGCUUAGCACAUGCAAGUCGAACGGAAAGGCCCUGCUUUUGUGGGGUGCUCGAGUGGCGAACGGGUGAGUAACACGUGAGUAACCUGCCCUUGACUUUGGGAUAACUUCAGGAAACUGGGGCUAAUACCGGAUAGGAGCUCCUGCUGCAUGGUGGGGGUUGGAAAGUUUCGGCGGUUGGGGAUGGACUCGCGGCUUAUCAGCUUGUUGGUGAGGUAGUGGCUUACCAAGGCUUUGACGGGUAGCCGGCCUGAGAGGGUGACCGGCCACAUUGGGACUGAGAUACGGCCCAGACUCCUACGGGAGGCAGCAGUGGGGAAUAUUGCACAAUGGGCGGAAGCCUGAUGCAGCAACGCCGCGUGCGGGAUGACGGCCUUCGGGUUGUAAACCGCUUUCGCCUGUGACGAAGCGUGAGUGACGGUAAUGGGUAAAGAAGCACCGGCUAACUACGUG